ACUGAGGCAGGAAAUGGGGACAGGAAAAUUCACUCGCUGGGAAAUCCAAAGAGGACGUACUCAGGAUGAAAUUAAUAGCAUCAUGCUGGCGAUGAUGAUGAAUACAGCAUUGAAGUUUGAGGCGUAUCAAAGCUUGAAAGCAUUUUCAUGGCAUACAGAUAGUGGAUUUAGUGGUGAAGAUUUGGUUUCAGAUCUUUUUGGUUUUUAUCGUUUUAUGAUCCCGGGGAAAUACAGUAGUUUGGUUCGUCCCGUCAGUUAUAAUGAUGCGGUUAGUCGCUGGGAUUUUUACGGACCUGUUGGCAGUUUUAAAAAUGAUGGGUUUCGACCCAUUCUGUUUCCUGAUCCGAAGGAUCCCUGUGUCAAACAUAAACCUUAUAAGGUAAAUUUGCCACAUUUUAUGACAUGGAUCCAACCGUGGAGUGAUUUUACAUCGGGUAAGAUAAGAAUCAUAACUAAUGAUGGAACAUCAUUUUCUUUUUUACCCAUAUAGGAUGUAUAUAAACAUGCAAGGGAUGAGACUUUUCAGACGUCUUUUUUUAUGGUUUAUCCUUGCCGUAUUUUCUAUGCUUUUUAUCGCUUGUAUUUUUAUAUAUAUGAUUUCAUCAGGAAUGAAUGAUGGUGGAGUUUAUACGGAAAAUGAUUUUUUAAAAUACCACAUGCUUACUGAUCCUGACAUAUUAAAUAGUCCUAAAGUAUCUGAGAAAUAUUAUUUUGAAUACCAUCCAGGUGAUGGUUAUCCACUUUCAAACUCCAUAGUAUUUAGUGGGGGGACAGAUGUGGAGCCUUUGAAAAGAUAUCUCUCAGAACUGGGGUAUAAAUUACAUAAGCGCAUUCUCAAUAAGAAUGAAAUUGUAUGGGAGAGUCGUUGUUCGAUAAAUCAGUCAUCAUCGUUUUAUCUUUCAGUUAACUAUACAGAAAAUAGUGUUCAGCUUGAAAAAGAAAUUUGUUAUUAGCAGAUGACUACAUUCUUCAGAAGGAUCCAUUAUGAGUUUUGUAUCCACGGGUAAUAAAACUGUCGGGAGCGAUGGGCCAGCUAUCACUACGCCGCCAAUUGUCGGAGAAAAUAACGGUGUUAGUUCAGGUGCCGCCGUAGCCAGCGUUACUGACGCAGCCGAACAAAUGGCAGAACAGGCAGUGGAAUUGUUGUUUGGCGAGUUGCCGGAACCAUCAGGACUGGUAAAAGCCGCGGUGGCAGCGGCGCAGGCCGCCGCUGUGGCGGCAGGGAUAUCGGAUAUAGCUGGUGCCGCACAGGACGUAAUGUCAUCUCUUAUCUCCGGACCGGGAGUGCAUAACGUUACGGUAAGCGGCAGUGCCGUGCCGCUGCAGAUGUUGUUGUUUGCCAGCCUUAAUGGCUCGGAAACACUGGGAGCCUUGUUUACUUAUGUGGUACAGCUAAAAACGCCCGACACCCUGAAUCUGGGCUAUGUCUCCCCGGCGGCCAACCUGCCGCUCAAACCGGAGCUGAAGUCAGUCGAAGAUACCAGCUGGCUGCAACUGUUUAUUAAAAACACAGCACUGUGCAAACACGAAAGUGGACGUAUACGGUGUGACGCCUGCCCGGUGCCGGAAGGUUAAUUGAUGGGGUCAGCGCAAGCGAAGCUCCUGAUCGAAGCCCCGGUAAACGGCGGCCGUAACUAUAACGGUCCUAAGGUAGCGAAAUUCCUUGUCGGGUAAGUUCCGACCUGCACGAAUGGCGUAAUGAUGGCCAGGCUGUCUCCACCCGAGACUCAGUGAAAUUGAACUCGCUGUGAAGAUGCAGUGUACCCGCGGCAAGACGGAAAGACCCCGUGAACCUUUACUAUAGCUUGACACUGAACAUUGAGCCUUGAUGUGUAGGAUAGGUGGGAGGCUUUGAAGUGUGGACGCCAGUCUGCAUGGAGCCGACCUUGAAAUACCACCCUUUAAUGUUUGAUGUUCUAACGUGGACCCGUAAUCCGGGUUGCGGACAGUGUCUGGUGGGUAGUUUGACUGGGGCGGUCUCCUCCUAAAGAGUAACGGAGGAGCACGAAGGUUGGCUAAUCCUGGUCGGACAUCAGGAGGUUAGUGCAAUGGCAUAAGCCAGCUUGACUGCGAGCGUGACGGCGCGAGCAGGUGCGAAAGCAGGUCAUAGUGAUCCGGUGGUUCUGAAUGGAAGGGCCAUCGCUCAACGGAUAAAAGGUACUCCGGGGAUAACAGGCUGAUACCGCCCAAGAGUUCAUAUCGACGGCGGUGUUUGGCACCUCGAUGUCGGCUCAUCACAUCCUGGGGCUGAAGUAGGUCCCAAGGGUAUGGCUGUUCGCCAUUUAAAGUGGUACGCGAGCUGGGUUUAGAACGUCGUGAGACAGUUCGGUCCCUAUCUGCCGUGGGCGCUGGAGAACUGAGGGGGGCUGCUCCUAGUACGAGAGGACCGGAGUGGACGCAUCACUGGUGUUCGGGUUGUCAUGCCAAUGGCACUGCCCGGUAGCUAAAUGCGGAAGAGAUAAGUGCUGAAAGCAUCUAAGCACGAAACUUGCCCCGAGAUGAGUUCUCCCUGAGACUUAGAGUCUCCUGAAGGAACGUUGAAGACGACGACGUUGAUAGGCCGGGUGUGUAAGCGCAGCGAUGCGUUGAGCUAACCGGUACUAAUGAACCGUGAGGCUUAACC
This 2623-nucleotide ribosomal RNA is filed under the name Salmonella enterica subsp. enterica serovar Derby. RNAcentral's name for it is "bacterial LSU rRNA". The stretch from base 1145 to 2623 matches the Rfam family "Bacterial large subunit ribosomal RNA". Lineage: Bacteria; Pseudomonadati; Pseudomonadota; Gammaproteobacteria; Enterobacterales; Enterobacteriaceae. The record is from RNAcentral.